Molecule: long non-coding RNA, 1255 nt
Filed under: Trifolium pratense (red clover)
Lineage: Eukaryota; Viridiplantae; Streptophyta; Magnoliopsida; Fabales; Fabaceae
Description: long non-coding RNA (TPRA_LNC000530)
Source: RNAcentral
AGUGCUUUUGAAUCGUGCACUAUAAAGGAAAGGGUGGAAAAUAAGGCAACACCAAUAGAAUGUGCUUAAUCUCUAUGUAAUUAAUAUAUAAGUUGAGACAAUAUACAAAUAAAAAAUGCGGUGUACAUACUUUUAAUAGUACACGAUACAAUAGAAAUUGAGAUAACUAUAUCAAGAAUAUACAAUAGAAAUUGUGUCUAUCCUAGUUGCACUCAGGCUUUAGCUAAUUUUCCACAAACUCUAGAGUUUCCUUGUAGUUGGAGAACUCGUACAAUAUCAAGCUCGUGUCGAGCUUUUCUGCUUGUAUAUGGCACAUUAUGUGCACUAAUUACUUGGUAUUGGAUAUAAAGUCCUGACCUAUUUAAUCUCAUGCUUGAUGUGUUACCUAAAAUUGCAAAAAUUAGAGUUUCAGUAGGGAUUAACAAAAGGCAGCCAAAAUCUUAAUCUUAAUACAAAACAGAAAACAAUGAUAAGGGUCAAAUUUGCUCACCUAAAAUCACUCUUUUAAGGUCGCAGUCCCGUUGAUAUUGAAAGCUACUCCCAGUUUCUCUUCUAAGAAUGAGACUCGUAAGGUUCAUGUUCAAUUAAGUACCUUCCAAAUUUAUAUUAUAAACCAAAUUGUUAUGGCUUGACAUAUUUAAAGGGAUUAUGUCCUAGUACGUGAACCAACAAAGGCUUCUAAGAAUGAGACACUUAAGGUUCAUGUUCAGUUAAGAAAAAAUGGCAAGGGAAAACAUGUAUAUCAGAAUGCUAAGGGAAAACAUGGAAAGCCACUCCUUCAUCAUGGCAUUGCUAAUCUUGCUACAUUCUCUCAACAAUAGUUAAUAGCAACUUUCCAACUUCAUUCUCGUUACUCGCCCUUCAAAAAAGUGAAUGUGUUAAAAAUGUCUGGGAGAGCAAUCAAACAAAUCAAAACUAUAGGAUUACCAAACUGACCAAGCAUUGCUUCUAUGCAAAUUUCUAAAAUCAAACUAUAGAACUCCAAAACCAAACCAAUGAAAAACUCCAAAACCAAGUCUUAUACACGAAAAAGCUAACAACCCAUUGCACUAUCCACUAUAUGUACUUGAACACUAUGUAUUCUGCUUCUUCCAAAUCAGCCGGGAACAAAAUUAAAUUACGACAAUCAAAAUACAUAAAACUUCUACUACCUUUGCAAGAAGCAAGAUGAAUGGAUCUUCACUCACCUAAUAGCAUAAAAUACAAUCAUAAGUACAUGUUCAAGUAAAUUUAAAGUCAAAACGGCUAAUUGNNN